RNAcentral lists this long non-coding RNA (608 nucleotides) under Anas platyrhynchos platyrhynchos (common mallard). Its description in RNAcentral is "lncRNA (ENSAPLG00000021414.1)". Lineage: Eukaryota; Metazoa; Chordata; Aves; Anseriformes; Anatidae. The record is from RNAcentral.
UGUGGAUGUGUAGAGUUUAUUGCACAAUUUAUGAAGUGGUGAGAUUGCUGUAUGCAAAUCUGUCUAGAUGGCUCCCUCAGAGGCUUGCGCUAAUUACCCGAGGCAGGCAGGGAAGAGGGAAAGAAAAAGGUAUACAAAAACUCACUAGUUUUUCUUUCUUUUGUUGCUGUUGUUUCUUAGGGUCAAAGAAGAGACUUGACAGAAAAAUUAAGCUGAAAGGGAAGUCGAAAUGGCUACUAUAGUCACAGGUAUUUCAAUAAGAGGAUCAUUUACUGAGGAAGCCAAAUGUGAACCAGUCUAUUGAGGAAAUAGAAUUUACAUUCUGCCACACAGUUAAUCUUAGAAUCAAUCCAUUGGUUGAACAGUAAAGAACAAAUGGCAACUUCAUGCAGUAUUACAGUCAAGGUUACCAUUCUGGGGGAAAACAUAGGGUUUAGCAUUAAACUACAUACAUGUCAAUACUCUUUUUCAGUUUUUGUCUUUAAGUGUCCAAAUUGCCUUGCCACUCAGUUUUUUAUUUUUAUUUUUUUGAGUGGACAGCAUGAAGAAGUACUCUUUUUUAUUCCAUAUUUUUUUAAUUCCCCCUUCACUACCCCCACCUCCAGUCU